This is a long non-coding RNA of Pipistrellus kuhlii (Kuhl's pipistrelle), 1164 nucleotides long. RefSeq lists it as uncharacterized. NCBI's taxonomy places the organism in Eukaryota, Metazoa, Chordata, Mammalia, Chiroptera, Vespertilionidae. The record is from RefSeq and is a predicted model, not a curated record. The transcript has 3 exons.
UGGUCCCUGCCCAGCAGCACGUAGCCACCGGGCAUGAAGGACAGUCAUUCAGGAAGGGCUCCGCUGCCUUCCAACUGCCUGGCCUUCGGGGAGAUGCCUUCUCCUCCAGGAGCGUCUAACCCAAGGGGCACCCCAGGGCCUGCCUGUGAGCAGAGAUGGAGGACGGACAGUGGGGGCCUCAGUUCCAAAGCAAACAGUGUGCUGAGGCAACACCGACCAUGCCUUUCUUUACCUUGGCAAUCUCAUGCCCACACUAAAUAUAGAUGCCGGUGCAGAACGGGCAUUUGCCUGCUGCCACAGAAUUGGCACAGUCCAACUUACAGCAGAAGGGCACAGUGUUAAGACUCUAGAAGCUUUUCACUAUGUGAUGCUGGAAUCUCAAGUUCCUUUCUGGUUCAGAUUGAGCGGACAUCUCCCACUGCAGAUGCAGAGCUGUCUAUUAAUUUGUGAAAAGGAGACUUCAAACGCCGAAUCAAAACAGCGUGGGUGUUCACAGUCUGCCUCCAUCUCCUACAGCCCGCCACUGACACCACUAUGCAGGAACAGCGGACUCAGAGUAGAGGACGCACAAUCCUGUGGCCUGAUGGGCGGGGAAGGUGCCAUUCUCGGGCCGGAUGAAAGGAAGAUGAUCCUGAAAGGGGCUGGAGAUAUAUAAUUUCAAGCAACUCUGUUUCAGGCACGUAUCUUCCUUCUGAUUGCUGCAGACACCAGCUGGUUGGGGGAGGGGGAGAGGCAGGCAGGAAGAAUGAAGAGAGGAACUCUCCACUGGUGGAGGAAAGCAGGGGAAGCCAGAGGGAGGAAGUCAUUCUGGGUUCAAAGAAAUCAACUUAGAAAGCUUCCCUUAUAAAAAUAGCCAUUGGCAAAUCCUAGCCUAUUUAUAUCAACUGUCCAAGAUCACUAUCAGGAUCCUGGACUGAAUCACAAGACCCAGUAAAUAAUCCUUACGAGCAUGGGGCACUGGCUGCCUGAUUUAUGGGGAGAUAUUUCAAACACCACUGGAACAACCGAGUCAGGGAAAAUCUGAGUGCUGGCACCAAAUGGUACACUUGCAAGUGGAUCUCACUUUACAGAAAUAGAUAGGUUCCUGAAAAGUUGGCUCUAAAAUGAACUCAAUUAAUGGAGUCAUAUUUUCCUAGUGAAUCACAUUUUAAAACUAGAGAUGGA